RNAcentral lists this ribosomal RNA (253 nucleotides) under uncultured bacterium. RNAcentral describes it as "partial 16S ribosomal RNA". It matches the Rfam family "Bacterial small subunit ribosomal RNA", at positions 524 to 776 of the family's 1533-position model. The record is from RNAcentral.
CACGUAGGGCGCAAGCGUUGUCCGGAAUUAUUGGGCGUAAAGAGCUCGUAGGCGGUCUGUCGCGUCGGCUGUGAAAUCCCGAGGCUCAACCUCGGGUCUGCAGUCGAUACGGGCAAACUAGAGUAUUGCAGGGGAGACUGGAAUUCCUGGUGUAGCGGUGAAAUGCGCAGAUAUCAGGAGGAACACCGGUGGCGAAGGCGGGUCUCUGGGCAAUAACUGACGCUGAGGAGCGAAAGCGUGGGGAGCGAACAGG